UGCCACAAGUCUCAAACGGAGCAGCUGG
This 28-nucleotide small RNA is filed under the name Bombyx mori (domestic silkworm). RNAcentral's name for it is "ovarian small RNA-33660". Lineage: Eukaryota; Metazoa; Arthropoda; Insecta; Lepidoptera; Bombycidae. The record is from RNAcentral.